Molecule: long non-coding RNA, 608 nt
Filed under: Monodelphis domestica (gray short-tailed opossum)
Lineage: Eukaryota; Metazoa; Chordata; Mammalia; Didelphimorphia; Didelphidae
Description: lncRNA (ENSMODG00000036766.1)
Source: RNAcentral
UAAGUUAUUGGUACAACCACAGAGAGCACAAGUCUCAGAACUGCUAGGUUUGAAGUAGAACUUCCUUGUAGGCAUGAAGUAAAGACCCACAUUCUAGUCAUGCUGUAAUCUAAGAUCUGUUGGAUUUCUUACAGAAGUGAGGAGAGAUGAUGGAUGGUUUCCUCCCCAUAAAGCUGCUGAUUGAAUUCAUUCUCUUUCUUGAAGACUUUGCUCAGAAAACCCCAAAUGGAGUCACAGAUGGAUGGACAUGAUUGAAAACUUACUGAACAACAACAAAAAUAUUUUAGGAAAAUUUCUUGUGAAGCUAUAUGGAGAAUGAAAAGGAGCGAGAGAAGAGUGGAGGUAAGUAGACAAAUUAAAAGGGUAAAACAGUCCAUAUUGGAGAGUUAUGUUAGGUUAUGAGUGUCUGAACUAAAGUAAUAAGAGAAGGAUUUAGGUGUGAAAGCUGUUAUAGAGGUAUAUGCAACAAGAUUUGGCAAGUGAAUUGACUAUUUGGGUGAGAGUGAGUUGACAAGGAUAACAACCAAGUUCUGAGUCUGAGGUACUAGAAAGAUAAUCUCCUCAAUAGCAAUAGAGAGGAUUGGUUCUUGAUUGAGUUUGGAAGGAAA